This 253-nucleotide ribosomal RNA is filed under the name uncultured bacterium. Its description in RNAcentral is "partial 16S ribosomal RNA". It matches the Rfam family "Bacterial small subunit ribosomal RNA", at positions 524 to 776 of the family's 1533-position model. The record is from RNAcentral.
UACAGAGGGGGCAAGCGUUGUUCGGAAUUACUGGGCGUAAAGGGCGCGUAGGCGGCCCGCUAAGUCGAACGUGAAAUCCCCGAGCUCAACUCGGGAACUGCGUCCGAUACUGGCGGGCUUGAAUCCGGGAGAGGGAUGCGGAAUUCCAGGUGUAGCGGUGAAAUGCGUAGAUAUCAGGAAGAACACCCGUGGCGAAGGCGGCUCUCUGGAACGCAACUGACGCUGAGACGCGAAAGCGUGGGGAGCAAACAGG